Long non-coding RNA from Homo sapiens (human), 5666 nucleotides. RefSeq lists it as uncharacterized. The record is from RefSeq and is a predicted model, not a curated record. NCBI's taxonomy places the organism in Eukaryota, Metazoa, Chordata, Mammalia, Primates, Hominidae. The transcript has 3 exons.
AGCAGUGUGUGGUAAGAGGAACGUCUGAGUCCCAGUCCCAGUCCUGAGAUCUCCGGACCCUUGGCACCUGAACAGAAGCCACCUUUUGGGUUCUCUCCCUGGGGUGGUGCAGAGCCUGGAAUCCUGCCCCUCAGUGCCUGGGGCUUCCUCUGGGAAGAAGGAGGAGCACGUGAAAUCAAAUUUCUUCCCAGAGAAGCCUGAACUAACCCUGGCAGGACAGCUGCUGCUCAGAGCCCACUGAGAAUUCAGCCAAUUAAAUGGGGAAAUAUGGGAGAAGACCUCCAUGGUGGGGCAGGGCGAGUCCACCAGAAGAAUAAACAGACAUGAAAGACAAGGGGCUCCUGGCUCCUGCUGCCCAAGCUGCUCAUGCCAAGGGAGAGUCACGAGAAAACUCCACUCAGCAAAGGUCCUGUCUCGCUCCUCAUAGUUAAUAUGCUGGGAAAACAGCAACCCCGGCAGCAGCCGUGUGUUCAGCCGGGAUGCAUCUGCCAAGGGCUGAGCUCAUAGCUUCGCCACCUGGGGCUUCAGGGCCCGUUUAACCCACUCAGACAUGGAGGUGCUGGGAGGGGGAGACUGGGGUGAGCCAUGGGAGGGGGGAAUCUGGAGUCAGUGACCAGGACCCUGCAUUUUGAUGCAGAGAGGAGCUUAGAGAUCUUUGGCUCAACGUCCUCCUGCAGAUUCUGAAACAGGAGGAGAGGGUCCUGGAACCUUCCUUCUCACACUCGGGUGGAGGAUUUUCAGAUCUUGCAGUCCCCUCCAUGGCAGCUGUCACACAUGGGAUCUCAGAGUCAGAGCUUCUUUCAUGAGCUCCAAGACACUUUCAUAAAAGCUUUGAAUCACAGAAUCUGAGCAUCUGCUCCCUGUCACAGAAUCCUAGAAUCCCAGGAUCACAGAAUCAUUUGUGGACUCACAGACUCAAGACUCUCAGAAUGAAAGGAUCUCUGGGGAAGACUUGGAGACUCACCCACGCAGCUCAGACCCCUGGAAUCACAGAACAAUCGGGAGAAGUGAUAUUAGAAGAUAUCUAAUAUCGUGGAAUCAGCAUCUUAGCACAGGACGUGACCUUAGCCCAGUUCCCCCUGGUCAUGCGGGAAGUCCUCUCUUCACUGUCCUGGGUAAUGGUUUGAACUCUGGUAGAGACGGUGAGGUCACCAUCUGACAGGGUCACCUGUUCCAUUCUUGGGCAGAUCAGGCUGCUGGUGCUGAGACUAAAUUUGCCUCCACAUGACCCACCUACCAAUCUGGCUCCUGGCUCCUCCUCCCACGAAGAACUGAAUAUGUAAGGUGAUCUGGACACCCACACAGAGGCUUAACACAGCCAAGCACAGCUUGGUCCUUGGCCAGAGGUGUCUGCCUCCCUCUAGGGCAGAGUUGGGCACCAGGACGCAGGAACCGAUGGGGCUGCUUGGCUCACUUCAGUUCAAUUCAGUUCACCCAAACAAGCAAGAGGUGUCCAGUCUGCUCCUCUUCUGGAGGAGGGGCCGGUCAGGGACAGGGGUGGGCAGGUAGGAACGCCCACCAGGAAGGAAGCUCAGUGGUGCUCUGGGAGAAGGAAUGAUCCUGUUCUCAGGGGUAGAGAGGAUGCCUGGGGCCAGAGGUGACAAAUAAGGCUGGUCAGAGUUAUCCCAGCCCUGCCGCUGACCAUGAGGUAACUUUGGGAAAUCACUCAAUGCCUCAGAGCCUCAGUUUCUCCAUCUGAGAAAUGGGAUCAUGAAGCCCCCUCUGUGUGAUUGGUGCAGGGCUGUGUUGGGAUUCACGCAGGGCACUCACCUCCCAGCACGGCUCUUGGCACAGCCAAGGCAAAAUAUAUUAAUUCCCUCCUGUCCCUCCAUCCUUGGGCCUGGGGGAUGAGCAGGAUUCUCCAGAUGGAGAAGAUCUGGGAAAGGCAUUCCAGGCGCAGGGAACAGCCUGUGCCAAGCCCUGGGAGCUGGGAGCAUUUGAAGACUCGGAGUGUCAGGAUGUGGGGGCAAAGUGCAGGCCUGGUCUGGGGGCAGUGGGCCCUGGAUGCCACCAUCCAGGAUGGUGGGGUGAGGGCGCUGGGAGCCAUAACAGGCACAGGUAGCCUCCUGCAGAGACCCUCCACCCUCCUUUGGUGCCCAGUAUCAGCCUGGGGAGAGAGUGUAGCUGCCCAGCCUCCUGGGACCCCACCAGCCAGGCAGCAGCAGAAAAGUGGAACCAAUGAAAACACACCAGAAACAAUCAUCACACAGACGAGGUCCGUGCCCAGCCAAACCCCAGCCCUGAGCACAUGGAAUGAUUUGAUGCUGAAACCCAGCACCGGAACAUUAGGGCAGUUUAGAAGGGUCUGGCACGGUUUUAUUCUGACAUAAAGGGCUGGAUCUCAUUAAGUUCACUUCAAAUGCCAACUGGGGAAUAAAUGAGGCCAAGUCCCCUGAUGAGCCUGGGCCCUGGUACCAGCCCAGGGUAGAUGUCAGGGAGCAGCCGGAGGCACGUUGUGGGGACACAGGAAGCUGGGAUCUCAGCUCUCUCCCCAUGAGCUGUGUGACGUGGGGCAUGUUGCCUAACCUCUCUGUGCCCACGCUCCUCCUACAGGGCAGGGUUGACGCUGGUGGCUCUUGUGCAGGGCAGCAGUGUAGACUGAAGGAGGCAGCCCCAGCUCCCUCACACCUGGGCUUCACUCUGUCUCCUGUUCCCCGGGCGGUCAUUCAUUCUUCUCUCCCAUUCCCCCGCCCGCCCACUCAGGACCUGCACCCUCAUUCACCAGGCGUGGGUUUAUUCCCCAUCAGCCCCGAGCUCCCCUUCCCCAGUGCAUUUACUCACCGCCCAGCCCUCCCUCAGCCCCCAACCCGUGCAUGACUCUGGCCUCUGCUGUGAGAAACCAGGAUCCCUCCUGUGCCUGUGAAGGGGGCUGGGCAGUUUAAAGAACGCAGUGUGACUUCAUUUAGGCCUCAAGUCCCCCAGGUCCCCACCCAGCUUCCUCCUCCUAGGUCACUCAGGGGCAGGGCAUUAAUGGGUGGUCCCUUGGGGGGAGUCCAGAGCUGCCCAUUGGAGGGGAGCCUGCCACCUCUUAGUGCUGUCUGUGUGACCUGGGCCAGAUCACCUUUCCUCACUCUGCCUAGGAAGUCCUUUCACCUCUGGGUGUGGGGAGUUGUCUGAGCCUCCUUGUGGCUCUGGGCUGGGAGAAGGCUCUGCCUCUGGCCAGUUUGCAGAGAACAGAGGUCGUUAUCCAUCCUGCUUCUCACGGCCCUUUUUGUAUCUAUAUCUAUGUCUGUGUCUAGGUCUAUGUCUGUGUCUAUAUCUAUCUAUGCCAUCUCUCUCUGUCUCUAUCUAUCUAUCUAUCUAUCUAUCUAUCUAUCUAUCUAUCUAUCUAUCUAUCUUUUUUGAGACAGAGUCUCACUGUCGCCUAGGCUGCUGUGCGAUCUCGGCUUACUGCAAUCUUCACCUCCUGGGUUCAAGCAAUUCUCCUGCCCAAGCCUCCCCAGUAGGAGAGAUUACAGGUGCCUGCCACCAUGCAUGGCUAAUUUUUUUGCUAUUCUUAGUAGAAAAGGGGUUUCACCAUGCUGGCCAGGCUGGUCUCGAACUCCUGACCUCAGGUGAUCCGCCCGCCUCGGCCUCCCAAAGUGCUGGGAUUACAGGCAUCAGCCACUGCGCCCGGCCUAUGCCAUCUAUAUUUGUAUCUAAUUUGUUCUCCCAGAAAACUGAGCUUGGGAGGUCUUUCCCCUUGAGCCUCUCUCUUAUGACUAGAAGGUGCUGAUGGUGGUGGGGACUGAGCCUGGUUUAGGGUCAACUCUACUGAACUGGGAGGUGACGAAGCAGAUCAUUUUCAGAAUCUGUUCCAUUUUUUACCUUGAUGAAGUGUAUCCUGCAGCUAAGUGCCCACUGGUCGGUUGCAGUAAUUAAUCAACUUUAUUGCCUAUACUUGAGGUCUCUGGAGCCUUGGCAUGCAAAUAUAUGUAAAUGAGCAGAGGAGUGGGUUGAACCUAAAGCCUGGGGAGUGUCUGCCUGGAUUGGGCUGAUUUCUCUGUUCACGUUUCCUGCCGUAAUCUUCCCGUGUUCCCUGGGAGCAGGAGAAUGGGGGGCAAGGAGAAGGAGCCUUAGAGUCAGAGACACCUGGGUUCAAAGUCCAGCCCACCUCUUCCUGCUGUGUGUGAUCCUGGGCAAGUCCCUGCACCUCUCAGCCUGCGUGUCUCCAUCCCCUACAGUGGCAGUAAUGAUCCUCUUCUCACCGUGCAGGGCUCUGGUGGGCCCAAGGAAGCAGCGCUCAGAAAACACAACUUGCCUUAAGAAGCAGCGCCUCUCAGAGCUCCUAAAUUACGCAUUUCUGAGGUGGCGGGGAGGAGAGUGCAGUCAUCUGGGCUUCGCAGCCCUGGCAGAGCAAGUGCUCCUUGAAAGGAGAUGCUACAAUUUCCCCUAAUGAAUGGCAACUGCUGCUUAAUCCAGUCCUUGCCUCCUUUCCCGUCCAGUUCGGUGUGUUUUAUGUGCGACCUUUGCUGAGUGCAGCCAUUCCUCUGGGGGAGAAUUUUUUAUUUGAAAUUUGAACAGCCUGGAAGACUUAUUCUAAAUAAUGGAUGUAAAGUGUGUCUGUGCAAAAACCACACGAAUUAUGUUAGGAAACCUAGGCUGAGUUGGGCUCCAAGUCCUGCUGGGACCUCUGAAGAGUGGGGCUGGGGACCCAAGGCUGCUCUGAUCAAGGAUUCAUACAGGAGCUUCUUUCAUCGUUGAUUUUGCAUUGGACGCAACUUAUAGAGUUUGCAGGUCUUUUUCAGGAGAGGUGGACAUUGAGGUUUACUGAGCACCCACUGUGUGUGAGGGCCGCGGAUGUGCUACUCCCAGCAACCCAGGUACUCAUUAAAUGUCAGGAGGAGGAUUUAUGUCUAUGUUUAUAUCUAUCUAUGCUCCUGCUCUCCUGCAGGCCCCGAUGUAGACAGCACCUCCUUAGGGAGCUCCCUGACCCCCCAGGUUGGGCUAGGGGCCCCUGUGGCUCCCACGUUGUCUGUGUGUCCCCCAUCAGAUCGCACGGUGCUGCCACCAUCUGUCUCCCCCGGACUGAGGGUCUGGAGGGCAGCGAUGACAUCUCUGUCCCCGUGUGGUGACCACAUAGCUCUGCCCUCCCUGACUAUGGGGCCUGGACCAGUCUCCUCACCACUCAGGCCCUAGUGUCCUCAUCUGUCAGACGGGUGACAGUCCACAUCCCCCAGGCUUGCGACACGUGUGAGGGCUCAGGCACGGUGAUGGUAGAGGCAAGGGCGCGAGCUGGGUGACCUCAGCCUCCCCUCCUCCCUCCGUACUUCCCUCCAUCCUCAACUCCACCUCUGAGGGGCCUGGGCUCCGCUCUCCUGCAGGAUUGCCACCCCCACCCCCGCACCUUCUCCCAACCUUCAGAGGAGAGGUAAUUAAAACUUCCUCCAGCACCAUGUCCUGAAGUUCCCUGCUUAAUUAGCACAACCUGCUACUCAGGAGUUACAUAACAUGGACGCGGCCUCCCUGCCCUGGAGAAGUGUGUUGACGUCUCCCUGCAGGACCAGUUACAUAAUUUGUAGGGCCCAGUGAAACACGGAUAUGUGAUGCCCUUGUUUAAAAAGCGGAGAACAAGAAAUGCCAUGACAUAUACUUUAAUAUAAAGUUUUUUCUUUUCCGCCGAAGUCUCUCCCUUGUCAUGUUAUUUUUUAUUUGCUAUUUAAUGUUCUAAGUAAAAAUUUAGAACU